Molecule: long non-coding RNA, 331 nt
Organism: Bradysia coprophila
Lineage: Eukaryota; Metazoa; Arthropoda; Insecta; Diptera; Sciaridae
Source: RefSeq, a predicted model, not a curated record
CAUUUUUCACAUAUGCCACGACGUUCAACUCGUAAGACUCUGAGACUUUGCCGAAGAAAGUAUCUCUCUAUCUCUCAUAAGCCAAAAAAUGUUACUCCUUUCCUCCGACGCUCGAGCAGCUCAAAAUUUGCUCACUCUGACCACUCUACACAUACACACACAUACACAUACACACAUACACUACACUACACAUUCAAUCUAGUAUGGCUACACAACAUAAAAGCGUUCGAAGUAAAUAUCAUUUUUGUCUGAACCCGUGGCUUUGGUGCUAGAGCUCUCGACUCAUAAUCGAGAGGUCCCGUGUUCAAAUCCGCGGCUUCGCCUCGUUCGA